UACGAAGGGGGCUAGCGUUGUUCGGAAUUACUGGGCGUAAAGCGCACGUAGGCGGAUUUGUAAGUCAGGGGUGAAAUCCCGGGGCUCAACCUCGGAACUGCCUUUGAUACUGCAAGUCUUGAGUCCGGAAGAGGUGAGUGGAAUUCCUAGUGUAGAGGUGAAAUUCGUAGAUACUAGGAAGAACACCAGUGGCGAAGGCGGCUCACUGGUCCGGUACUGACGCUGAGGUGCGAAAGCGUGGGGAGCAAACAGG
This 253-nucleotide ribosomal RNA is filed under the name uncultured bacterium. Its description in RNAcentral is "partial 16S ribosomal RNA". It matches the Rfam family "Bacterial small subunit ribosomal RNA", at positions 524 to 776 of the family's 1533-position model. The record is from RNAcentral.